UUGGGCUAAAGCGUCGUAGCUGGCUACGCAAGUCCGUCGGGAAAUCCACUCGCCCAACGAGUGGGCGUCCGACGGAAACUGCAUAGCUUGGGACCGGAAGGCUCGAAGGGUACGUUCGGGGUAGGAGUGAAAUCCCAUAAUCCCGCACGGACCACCGAUGGCGAAAGCACUUCGAGAAAACGGAUCCGACAGUGAGGGACGAAAGCCAGGGUCUCCAAC
This 219-nucleotide ribosomal RNA is filed under the name uncultured archaeon. Its description in RNAcentral is "partial 16S ribosomal RNA". It matches the Rfam family "Archaeal small subunit ribosomal RNA", at positions 505 to 724 of the family's 1478-position model. The record is from RNAcentral.